Molecule: long non-coding RNA, 511 nt
Filed under: Homo sapiens (human)
Lineage: Eukaryota; Metazoa; Chordata; Mammalia; Primates; Hominidae
Description: HSALNT0241574
Source: RNAcentral
GCGGUGGGGUGGUAACUCUGGGUUCUGCCAUGGAAAUGGUAAGCUGACAUGGUGCACUGGUUGAGCGUGUCUUAUGGAAAGCUGCUUUCACCCUGUCCCUGUUUCAGCUAGUCAUCAAUUUGGUCUGGUGUCCAAGCCCCAUCUCUGGAGUCCAGUUCCACCUCCUACCUCAGCGUGGGCUUUAUUACCUGGCUUGCCUUCUUGAAGUGGCCUCAUGUGGCAGAGAGAAAGCUAGGGAGCUCUCUGGGUUCUCGUCUCAUAAAGACACUAAUUCUAUUAGAUCAGUGCCCAGCUUUAUGACCUCAUUUGACCUUAAUUACUUCCCAUAAAUCCUUUUUUUUUUUUUUGAGACAGAGUCUUACUCUGUCACCCUGGCUGGAGUGCAGUGGCAUGCUCUCGACUCACUGCAACCUCUGCCUCCCAGGUUCAAGCAAUUCUCCUUCCUCAGCCUCCUGAGUAGCUAGGACUACAGGUGCGCACCACCAUGCCUGUCUAAUUUACGUUUAUUUUU